RNAcentral lists this ribosomal RNA (523 nucleotides) under uncultured bacterium. Its description in RNAcentral is "partial 16S ribosomal RNA". It matches the Rfam family "Bacterial small subunit ribosomal RNA", at positions 28 to 523 of the family's 1533-position model. The record is from RNAcentral.
GACGAACGCUGGCGGCGUGCCUAAUACAUGCAAGUCGAACGCUUUUUCUUUCACCGGAGCUUGCUCCACCGAAAGAAAAAGAGUGGCGAACGGGUGAGUAACACGUGGGUAACCUGCCCAUCAGAAGGGGAUAACACUUGGAAACAGGUGCUAAUACCGUAUAACACUAUUUUCCGCAUGGAAGAAAGUUGAAAGGCGCUUUCGCGUCACUGAUGGAUGGACCCGCGGUGCAUUAGCUAGUUGGUGAGGUAACGGCUCACCAAGGCAACGAUGCAUAGCCGACCUGAGAGGGUGAUCGGCCACACUGGGACUGAGACACGGCCCAGACUCCUACGGGAGGCAGCAGUGGGGAAUCUUCGGCAAUGGACGAAAGUCUGACCGAGCAACGCCGCGUGAGUGAAGAAGGUUUUCGGAUCGUAAAACUCUGUUGUUAGAGAAGAACAAGGAUGAGAGUAAAAUGUUCAUCCCUUGACGGUAUCUAACCAGAAAGCCACGGCUAACUACGUGCCAGCCGCCGCGGUAA